Molecule: ribosomal RNA, 266 nt
Filed under: uncultured bacterium
Lineage: Bacteria
Description: partial 16S ribosomal RNA
Rfam family: Bacterial small subunit ribosomal RNA
Source: RNAcentral
GUCCACGCUGUAAACGAUGGAUACUAGGUGUAGGCGGAUACAAACCCCGUCUGUGCCGAAGCCAACGCGUUAAGUAUCCCGCCUGGGGAGUACGACCGCAAGGUUAAAACUCAAAGGAAUUGACGGGGGCCCGCACAAGCAGCGGAGCGUGUGGUUUAAUUCGAUGAUACGCGAAGAACCUUACCUGGGUUUGACAUCUCUGUAGUAGGAAAGCGAAAGCGGCCCGACCCUUCGGGGAGCAGAGACAGGUGCUGCAUGGCUGUCGU